UACAGAGGGGGCAAGCGUUGUUCGGAAUUACUGGGCGUAAAGGGCGCGUAGGCGGCCAACUAAGUCAGACGUGAAAUCCCCAGGCUCAACCUGGGGACGCCACCCGAUACUGCUGUGGCUAGAGUCCAGUAGGGGAGUGUGGAAUUCCCGGUGUAGCGGUGAAAUGCGCAGAUAUCGGGAGGAACACCAGCGGCGAAGGCGGCACUCUGGGCUGGAACUGACGCUGAGGAGCGAAAGCGUGGGUAGCAAACAGG
RNAcentral lists this ribosomal RNA (254 nucleotides) under uncultured bacterium. Its description in RNAcentral is "partial 16S ribosomal RNA". It matches the Rfam family "Bacterial small subunit ribosomal RNA", at positions 524 to 776 of the family's 1533-position model. The record is from RNAcentral.